UACAGAGGGGGCAAGCGUUAUUCGGAAUUAUUGGGCGUAAAGGGCGCGUAGGCGGCCUGUUAAGUCGAACGUGAAAUCCCCGGGCUCAACCCGGGAACUGCGUCCGAUACUGGCAGGCUUGAAUCCGGGAGAGGGAUGCGGAAUUCCAGGUGUAGCGGUGAAAUGCGUAGAUAUCUGGAGGAACACCGGUGGCGAAGGCGGCAUCCUGGACCGGCAUUGACGCUGAGGAGCGAAAGCAUGGGGAGCAAACAGG
RNAcentral lists this ribosomal RNA (253 nucleotides) under uncultured bacterium. RNAcentral's name for it is "partial 16S ribosomal RNA". It matches the Rfam family "Bacterial small subunit ribosomal RNA", at positions 524 to 776 of the family's 1533-position model. The record is from RNAcentral.